RNAcentral lists this long non-coding RNA (34235 nucleotides) under Prunus persica (peach). RNAcentral's name for it is "long non-coding RNA (PPER_LNC001387)". The record is from RNAcentral. Lineage: Eukaryota; Viridiplantae; Streptophyta; Magnoliopsida; Rosales; Rosaceae.
AAAGAAGUGCAAGUGAGUUCACCGUUGAAUUUACAUCCAACGGUGAGUGACCACAAAUCUCUUAGACCCCUGUAAUCCAAGAGAUUAGAACUGUAUAUAUAUAUAUAUAUAUAUAUAUAUAUAACAUGCACGUACUCGCUCCUUUAUUUUAAAUAAUGAAAAGCAUGAGUAAACCUUCUUAUUAGGCUAUACAUAAUCAAGCUUAGUCUAGCUACUACAUAAUAAUGCAUGCAGAGAAAGAGAAUGUUAUAUAUAUCACUCAUCUUUCUUUAUGUUUUGCUUACAAUUAAUUAAUGUCGUCGGUCUCACUCACUCGUCUACUUAAUAUUAAUUAGUGUCUACCUAAAGUUAAUUGAAAAGGCUAGCAUGCACUACUUCAUUAUUUUAUUUAAUUUUUUUGGUUGUUAUAAGCCUCUGUAGGAAAUGGUAAUACUCAUCUUUCCUAUAGCACUUUUUAAAGCUCCACUCAGCUCAAGGACCUUAACUAAAGUAGUAGAGAGAAUGAAUUCUUGGCUUUGGUCUUUACCAAGGAAUAAGCAGACACACAAAUUUAAGAUAGCUAGCUUAGCAUAUAUACAACGUUUGUAACUGUCAACUGAUGAUGAAUGUGUCUCGUGACGAAAUGUAAACAUUUUACAAGAUAUCUCAAAUAUCUAAUUAAUGUGUCUUUGAGAGUCUGAAGUUAUUGCAAAGGUACCGAAAUCACAAAAUUGCAAUUACGUACGUACCCUUCUAUCUAGAUACACAAUUCUUAAUGGGUCAUGCUAGGGAGACCAACUUUAGAUACCAACUUGUGUACCAACUCUCUAAUAGAGGUGGAGCCCACCAAUACAAUGGGUCCCACACUCUAUUAGAGAGUUGGUACACAAGUUGGUAUCUACAGUUGGUCUCCCUAGCAUUUUCCAUUCUUAAUUGAUUAUCUGUUUUGAUUUGAUUAUAUCUAUGCGCAUGAGUGACUGAUGCCCAAAAAGGCAAAAGAAAGACAAUUAAAGUUGAAGAAAGCUAGCAAGCACAGGAGUCAAGAUAUAUCGUACACUUUCCUCCUCUCAUAAUUACAACUGUCACAAAUUAAUCCAAAAACUAGAAUACAAAAACAAAACCCAAUCCUCUCAAUCGGAAACAUUUGUGUGUAACAAGAAUAAUACAGUUUUGCUAUUUCUAAUCAAUCACGUUAUGUCAUGUACUGAUAACUUCUUCAUUAAACAUAACGUAAUUGGCCAAAAAUAACAAAACAGUGUUAUCCCAAUAUCAUAUAAGUUUUUCUGCCUCUAACCCGUGGAUGAGGGGCAAUGCCAAUGGGGCCUCACCCUCACUCAAUUAUUCCAAUGCUAGCUAGCUAGCCAGGCCUUGACCUUUUUGUUGCCCUCCUCCAUCUCAAUUCUCUAGUGCUAUAUAUAUGUAUAAUAUAUUAUAUGCAUAUCCCAAAACGCAAACCGCCUCAUAGAUACAACCUAUAUUCCCACCUCCCAAUUACUGUUUCAAACCCAAAGCAAGCAAGGUAUAGCCAGCUUAAUUAAUUUACAUUGUCAAUUUGAAGCUAGCUGGCUAACAGAAACCAUGGUAGCCGUACGUGUGAAGCAAGCAGUAGCGGUACUAGUUAAAGUGGCUGCAGUGCUGCUCUUCUUCUUCCUAAUUGGCGGCUGCGCCACCACCACCGCCACCGCUACCUCCACCAUCCGCAGUACUAUUACUUACCCAGAGUUUCAGGAGUUGAACGUAAAAGAAACCAUAGCGGGGACCAAAAUGAAUAUCGGGCCACCUACGGCAGCUGCACGCAACGUCACAAGCAGCAGCAGCAGCAGCCCCACCACCACUGCCAGUACUAGCGAUAGUGGGGGAGGAGGAGGAGGAAAAUGGAAGGUGAAGGUGGUUCACAGAGACACGAUAUCAUUACAAUCUCACCGGAACGGCGGCGGCCAUACCCAUGCCCACGUUUUCCAUGCACGCAUGAAAAGGGAUGCAAAGAGGGUUGCUAGCCUUGUGCGGCGCCUAAGUCAUCGUAUAAGCAGCAGCAGCAACAGCAGCACCAUUGAUGAGGAGGAGGAGAAGGAGGAGGAGAAGGGUUUCGGGUCGGAAGUGGUGUCGGGUAUGGAGCAAGGGAGUGGAGAAUACUUCGUUCGGAUCGGAGUGGGGAGCCCUCCAAGAAGCCAAUACAUAGUGAUUGACUCCGGAAGUGAUAUCGUUUGGGUCCAGUGUCAACCUUGUAGCCAGUGUUACCACCAGUCCGACCCGAUCUUUGACCCAGCCCAUUCUGCUUCUUAUAUGGGAGUCUCCUGCAGCUCCUCAGUCUGCGGCCACCUCCAGAACCCUGGCUGCCAUGCGGGUCGAUGCCGCUACGAGGCCUCCUACGGGGACGGGUCCUAUACGGAGGGCACGCUUGCCCUCGAGACUCUUACGUUGGGGAGCACCCUCAUCCAGAACGUGGCCAUCGGCUGCGGCCAUAUGAAUCGGGGCAUGUUUGUGGGAGCCGCUGGUCUUUUGGGGCUUGGGGGUGGGCCCAUGUCUUUUGUGGGUCAGCUCGCCGGCCAGACCGGCGGUGCUUUUACUUACUGCUUAGUUAGCCGGGCCCGCCGCAGUGGUACUGCUAGUGACACUGACGACGCAGCAGCAGCAAGCGAAUUGGGCGGCGGAGGAGGAGGGUCUAUUGAGUUCGGGCGGGAGGCGAUGCCCGUGGGUGCUGCGUGGGUCCCUCUGAUCCGGAACCCACGGGCCCCGAGUUUUUAUUUUGUGGGCCUUGCGGGUCUUGGGGUUGGAGGGAUGCGGGUACCCAUAUCGGAAGACAUAUUCGGGCAAAGCGAAGGAGGGGUUGUGAUGGACACGGGCACCGCCGUCACAAGGUUCCCGACGGUGGCUUAUGAGGCGUUCCGGGACGCUUUCGUUCAGCAGACCUCCAACCUCCCUCGCCUCUCCUCGGGAGUCUCCAUCUUUGACACUUGCUACGACCUCAACGGUUUCGUGUCGGUUCGGGUGCCCACCGUUUCGUUUUAUUUCUCGGGUGCGGGUGGACCCAUCCUCACCCUUCCGGCCAGCAAUUUUCUAAUUCCGGUGGAUGACAAGGGCAGUUUUUGCUUUGCAUUUGCUCCUUCCCCAUCCGGGCUUUCCAUAAUAGGCAACAUUCAGCAAGAGGGCAUCCAGAUUUCAUUCGAUGGAGCCAAUGGUUUUGUGGGAUUCGGACCCAAUGUCUGCUAAUUACCAUAUAAUAUUACAUUACGGUACCUAGCUAUUAAUACAUAUAUGGUAAUUAAUAUUUCCAGUUGAGUAGAUUAUAUUAUAGAUGAUAGAUAGCCAUUCUCUUUUAUUUAGUUAAACCUUGAUGAAGAAGAACUUACUAGAAUAUAUCAUGGAGGGGGUGGCUCUUGUCCGUGUGUGAAUGUGAAUGUAUGACAAAUGUAAUAGUAAUAUUCUUAUGGACCAGGACCAAAUUUCUAAAAAUAAAAAAGUAUUGCUUUUCACCUUUUCAAUUUUUAACCUUUCACUUGAAGAGAAAACUGAAAAGGGCGGAAAAUUAGCGGGGGUAGUUAUGAAUUAUUAAAUGAAUGUGAAGACAGUCCUCAAAAGAAUCACAAAGGUCAUUCAUUAUUGCAUUCGCUACUAUGCUAAGUCUACCAGACAACACUUGGGGUUGCCUUUCUUUAGUGUGUGUUUUGUGUGAACUACUAAAGGAAUGAGGAUCCAAGAGAGCCCUUCCUCGACGAGAAACAAUUGUGUGAAACGGGUUGUUUUGCUAAACUCGGUCUGUAAUGACAUGUCAUGCGUGAUAACUUAUCUUCUUUACAGUAUGUGAUUAGUAGGCUUCUAGCAUGCUGCUGACUGUUUGUAGUGUUGGAGUCGUGAUCAUGAGCUGAGGGAGCCACCACCGUUUCGGACAUGUGACACCAACAAUCAAUCACCACCUUUGGCCUUUGGCCUUUGGUCUUUGGCUUUGGUGCGUGUGACCCAAGUUGGGGUGCAUUCAAGCAAUGACUUUUACAAAGGCAUUCAUUCAUUCGUUGAUUCACUCACUUUUUUCCUCUUUUUGCAACAUUCAUUAUAAGUGAAGUGACUAGAUUAUUUUACUUUUCAGAUUAGGGCCAGGCCGGGCCAGGGAUAUCAUAUUAGGAACCAAAAAUGAAGUUACUUUGUAAUAAUAAUACCAUAAAAAGUAAGUUGAUCUUGAUUUGAUACUACUAGCACUAGUACUAACCACAUACCAUUUCAUUUUGAUUUUAAUGACUUAAUUAAUCAGGUUUAUCAAGUAUCAUCAAUGCAAUAUCAAUACAGAAGAAUGAAUGAACAAAUACAGGACAUGCCUGUGAGAUCACUUUCCCCACAUUACUAAUAGGCCCACCACCACUAAAGUCAGAAUUUGUUGGUGAAAUGUGGGAAAAAGUAAGGGAAUCAAAAUAAAAGUAAUAAUAUGAUUUGACUGACUGACUGGAUUUUGUCCAUGAUCUGCUGCUUUCCUCAAUCCUUCGGCUUGGGUUGGGAUAUACUUGAAUUUUUUCUUUCGGAAUUAGCACAACCCAGUUUCCUUUCCACGGCACCCCACCCAUGCACCCAUGCACCCAUGCACCCAUGCAAGCAUGUCAUGUCAGUCUCCCUUUUUAUUCACACAAAUCUAAUCCUUCAGCUUAUAUUCAAUGCCUAAAAACGAACCAAAUAUGAAAAAAGAUUACUUACUGACUCUAUUGCUUAACUAGUGUAGUAGCAUUUAUUUCCAGUGGGAAACCAAACCACUAAUAGCUACUGUCAGCUCUUUCUUCGACACUUUUCACUUUCCUCCACUCCACUCCGCAUUGCAUUGCGUCUCAUUUCCUAUAACUCAACUAGACAAAUCGAAAAUGUCCCAUCCCAUUGCAAGUAACAACCAAUGAUGAUGAGGAGGUCCGUAUCUUACAUUUUUCCUUCCUCUUCCUCUUCCUCUUCUGUUGUUCACAACAUUUGAUCUUCUCUCUUGUGAACAGGCAGCAAGCAUUAAUAUCACAUAAGCAACAUUUUAUAUUCAUUAUUAUAUGAACAAAACUAAAUCAAAGCAAGGUAUACUAGAGUCUUUUGUACAAUAAAAUAGAUUAGAAUAUUUACAGCCACCCUACGGGUGCUGCUACCCAGCACUUGAGGGGAACAAAAAAUGCCUUCUUUGGCCUGGGAAGUCAAAAAACGGACGCAGGUUAGGAUGCACAUCUGUCUACACCCAUGACAGAGCCUACAUCAACCGGCUCUGCUACCACAUAUUUCAUGUAUCCUUCAUUAAUCAGGAUCCCGAUUCAUAAUUCUCUAUAAUUGUUUCUAGACAACCCUUGAUACAGCAAAAAUACUUGAGCCUGAGCCUUCCUUGUGUUCUAAACCAUAAAUAGGUAUCUGAGAUCCUCAACUGUCAGACGUGCGGCAGAGCCCCCACUAUGAUCUUCGCCAAAAGCAGACGCAACCAUUUUUCUCUUCUCUUCCUGCAGAACAGCGAGUAAAACAAAAAUUAUUAGAACUAGGGUCUGACAUAUCUGUCUACAUUAUUUCAUCUGUGAGCCUAAAAGAUACGUAAACAUAACAGAAAAAUAGUUUCCUUUUCUCUUUAAUCUUUCUGGCUGCUAUCUAAAAUGAUAAAACUUCAAAAGCCUGACUUUUAGCAUAACGAAUAGAGUGAUGCUAUCAAUCAAGGCAAGACAUACAGGACAUGAAUUUGAUUUAGAGUUUGACAACACAGUAGCUUUUUUUUUUUUUGGUCCAAGACAACACAGUAGCUUAGACCAUCUAACAAGAGAUCUUACCUAUUACUCUCUCUCUCCCCCUCUCUUACACACACUCACACACGUUCGCGUAUACAUAUGCAUUCUCUUCUCAUACUGAUUUGGACCAUUGAUCAAAUUGAUUUUCACAUUACAGGAAUUGAUAACAAAGGCUUGUGAAGGUUUCAGAAGACUUGCAAAGAGGUGAGAGAGAACGAAACACAUGGAGAGCAACCAAAAGUAAUUAUCUUGAGUCCAGGAAUUUAUUUUUAAUACUCGUAAAAUGUUCUUACACCAGAUACGGUUUUAAGGAACCCAUCCUAUAGAAAUCAGAAUUAGAGGGGAAAAAAAAUGCAGCAGCAGUACAAAUCCAAUAUUCAAUAGUAAGUAAAAGAUCAUACCUGUAGAGCUAAUAUCCUGUCCUCCACUGUAUCCUUAAUAGUGAGACGUGUUACAGUAACAGGUCGAGUCUGUCCAAUUCUAUGUGCCCGAUCAACAGCUUGAUCUUCAGUAGUUGGAUUCCACCACAGGUCCAAAAGGAUAACAUGGCAUGCAGCAACCAUGUUCAGACCAAGGUUUCCUGCCUUUAGGGACAUAAGCAUAACAGUGAUCUGCAAUAUAUUUCAAUCAUCAAGAUGUUAAAAUUAAUAACCAGAUUGAGGCGGUAAACGGGUUAGUCAUGCAGUGUUGACAAUUCUUCAUAUAAAAGUACAACACUAAAGCACAUAUAGUUCAGUGCUAUUUCAACAUCUCACAUCCACAGAUACGCAUUCUAACCAAAAUAUCCGUAUGAGGUUCAGGUUUUCCCACCUUGCCCUUUUUUUGUCAAACCCAACUUGCACAUUUAAAAGAAAGAAAACAUGAUGAACACAGAAGCAGUUAUGGAUUAUUUUGAGCAAUUCAUCAAGGUAAGGACCAAAACCUCCGGAUCAGUGUUGAAAUCUUUGACACCCCUGUCUCUUGAUGCCAGACUCAUUGUACCAUCAAGCCUUCUGUACUGUAUACAAUAUUGGUUCAGUGAUGUUUCAACUAAAUCCAACAUGCUAGUCCAUUGGGAGAAAAUAAUUGCUUUUAUUGGUCCAUCAUUUGGGGAGUUUGAAACUACUGUUGUGUGCUUUACAACAUCAACACCUGAAUAGCUACUAUCUGUGAUUUCGGUUCCAAAAUAAGGGUCUCCAUUGCGUCCAGUAGAGUUGUACGUUUCCGAAUUUGAGUCGUUUAAUUGGCAAUGCGACUGCAAAAUCUUAAUAACAGCUCUGAUUUUAGAGGAACUAUACUCAUUCUGUACCACAAUUGAUUUCUCAUCCGACCGAGAAUUCAUUGAACUACCAUCAAGAUCAUUAGAUAGGCAACUUAUGAGAGUGGAUUUGGAGAAGACGUUAUCAGGACCAACUUGUUCUUUACAUUCAAUAGCAGGGCACAUAUUGUCAUCACCCGUCAAAUAUUCUGAAACACACUGAUAGCAGAAAACAUGGCCACACAUAGUAACAACAGGGUCUUCAGGUGGAUCCUGCGAAUAGUAAAAAAGCAAAACUAAGAACUGUCCUAGGCAAUUUCUUAAAAUUUAGAAUUUAAAAAAAUAAAUAAAAACUAGAAAGAAGACUAUGUUCUAACAACUAACAAGCUUGCAAGAUGGUUGUCGUAUACAUUAACUGAUUCUUGGGCAAAUGGGUAUUAUCUACAAACAAAAAUCUGACCCAAAAAAAAAAGCAUGAACAAAAAAAUAUCAGUUAAAUAAGCUAAGUGUUCUAUCUUCGUAAAGCCAGGAUAGGGAGAGAGAAAAAGGAUCAACAUCAAGAGCAAAAAAGCAUCAUAUUUUGCUCUCAGGUUGGUAUAUUACUUCGCAUAAUUUUUCCGCAACCUUUUGAUAAAAAAAUUACAUAAAAUGUAAGAGGAAGUGUGAAGUUGCAGGUAGGUGAUUCAGGUGUAAAAGAUCCAUGGCAGAAAAACCAUCGAUGUGAGAUGUGACGUUGGAAGGGUAAACAUUUUCCUAUUGUCCCCUAAUGCAUCAGAUUUUAGUUCUGUUAUUUUGUCAUUUGGCAUGAAGUUAUGGUUGUCAUGAUUAAGAAUGACACCAUUCCAUAUACUUACCAAAUAGUUAUCGCACGACCAACAAAAUGUUAAUUAGUGAAAGGAAAAGUUUAAGUCUAUCAACCCAUCAAACGUAAUUUUAGUUUAAUAUUUGCUACUUAUUUUUAAUUUAAUUCAAUUUAUAUUUCUGUAUAAGUAAUAUGCAAUAGAAAAAGUCAAUUGGCACACAUGUUAGUGAGUGUCAAGAGACUAGUAAUUUAUAAGGGGAAAAAAUAGAAAAGGAGAAAAUAACUUUCUUUAAGUCCCAUGCAACUCACAGUACACUUCCUAUAACCCAACAUGUGCAUCUCAAUAGCAUAUAUAUUCACGUAUGAAAAAUAACACCGGAAAAUAACAAAAGUAAGAAAACAAAUCGCGCUGAUUCAAUUUCAAACUAACCUGAAACGCUGAUACCAUUUUCACUUAGGAAUAACAAGCAAGCACUGUGUAUCUCCUAUAAUUGGCUGAGCCCCUAAUUAAAGUAUAUAAUACUAAAACUAUAUCCUAGCAGAAGAAAUAUGUGGAGUCAUCACAAAAAUUAACAGGCAGUCAUCACAGCCUCCCUGCUGUGCACGAUGUAGCUGAUCAAAUCCGAAAACAGAUGUUUUGUAGUCUUCUCUAACAUAAUUUAUGUAUAUAGAUUUACAGGCUUUUAUAAGCUACAAAUGAAAAAUGAGGGGGUAGGUUUAAAGAAAGCUCACAUUGCAUACACGACAAAGGGCCAAGGAAGUUUCCAGGAGAUGCAGUAGAUCCAAAAGCAUAUCCCUAGGAAGUUGCCUUGCCAUUUUCACAGAAUCUUUCCCAACACAGUCAGAGUCAUAUCCUUUAACAAGCAGUGGAUGGUCACAAGCCUGCCGGAGGCGCAAAAGCAUCAAAAGGAUAUUUGCAUAGUUUUGAUUAACUGUCCCAGCAGCAGCAUAUGCCUGCAAGAUACAAUAGAAAUCAGCAUACUAGAGUGUAUAAACCUGGAUUGAAUUUUCAUGAGAUCACAACAAGAAUCUUCCUCAAAACUGCAGGUUGGUUAUAUUUAUACCAUGGAGUUCCUACCCGUACCAUUUUGCAAUAAAUAUAAUUUUCCUCAAAAAGUCAACAAAGUAGUAUUGGGCCCAUUAGAAACAUCACACAUCUAUUUUUCCUUUAAUAAAUCUAUUACCAGCAUUUUCCAAUUACAACUAAAAACCCUCAAAAGAUAAGUAAGAUGAAUACCUCUUAAAAAAUAAAGAAGAUGAAUACAGUACAAAACAGUCAGACAGCACUGCCUCAAGUAGAAUAAAUAAAACAAAAUGAAAUGCACCUUGAAUUUAGUGCGUGAAUCAGCUUCUAGCUUGGUAUAGAAGGCCCGCUCCUCAGAUGAGAACUCCACUUUACUCAAAUGUAUUGUUUUUGGCGGUAAUUCAAUUAUAGGUUGCCCAUCGAUCAAUGUUCCUACAUAGAAUAACUAAGUAUGAUAAGCACCAAAUAGUAAUUCGAAGUCCAAAAUUUCAAACUAGACAAGCACACCCACAUUAGUACGCAGUAUUGGAAGAACAACAUAGCAGACAUUUUAUUAAUAGAUCAACAUAUGUAGUCACAAAAAACUAUCAAUAACAUAUCUGUACAAAACAAACCAAUAUCUAAAGAACUAGAAUAAAUUUAUUAGAUGAAAAACUACACCAUAAAAUCAACUACUGACUAUCAAGAAAAUCAAAUAACCAGAACAAAAUUUUCACCUUUUGUUCGACGCAACAUUAUAGCCCUCAGAACUGCUUGGAGCUUCUUGUAACCGUGGAUUGAAUUUCUCGAUAUUGGAACCUUAAUGGUACUGUAAAAUGACUUAUAUACAGCAUAGGGAUCAUAUUUCAGAAAUCUGAAGUAGCUGUAUAAAUCAUCAAUUGCAUUUUGUAUAGGUGUACCGGACAAACACCACCUUCUUUUGGCUCGAAGGCUACAGCAGGCUCUAGCCACUUGAGUUCUGUGAUUCUUAAUUGUCUGAGCUUCAUCCAGUAUCACCCUAAACCAACCCACUCUUGCAAGGGGACCAGAACUGCAAUCAAAAGAGGAACUAUCAAUUCCUUUUCUGCCCUUCUUUCCCUUCUUACUAACAACAGGAGCCUUUUUUCUCUUCUUAUUAAUUGAAAAUUCAGAAGAUAUUCCAUAUUUUUCCCCAUUUUUCUCAUCAGAUUCAUCAUCAUCAACUAAAGGUUGUUUCGGGACUUCAUUUGUUACAAUAGAAUAUGUCGUGAGAACCACAUCAUAGCCAGCCAGUUCUUCAGGAUUCUUUGUCCUGCUGCCUCCAUGAUAAAUAAGGACACGCAGCUUUGCUUCCUCUGCGACCUUAUCAUCCAGCUCCCUAGCCCACUGUCGAAGAACACUUGCUGGACACACAACCAAUGUACCUGCUGCUGGCCUCUGCUUUUUGAAUGACCGUGCAGAUGUACUAACUUCUGGAGUUGAUCGAAUAUCAUCAGAUUCCUCAGUCUUGUUGACUGUAUCUAAACCACCACUGCCAUUGUCCUCAUCAUCAUCCAAAUUUAAAGCUUCAGUUUUAUGAUUGCCUAAAUCUUUAGAUUUUGAUUGUGAAUCCAAAAACCUCUGCAUUUGUAUAAGGGCAAUCAUUGAGAUAGUCUUACCAAGGCCCUGUAAGAUAAAAGCGUUAUGAAUCCAUGUAAAGCAUACAUAUAAAAUUGUUAGCCAAGUAUCUAAAAAUAAGCUAGAGCUACAGGUCAGAAGACUAUUAUUGAAUUACCUGAUCAUCUGCUAAGAUUCCACCUAGACAAUGCAGACUUCUAGUUUCCUUUUGAAGCAUCCAUGCCAAAGCAAUUUUCUGUGAUGUAAAUUUAUUUGAGUUAAAAAACACAUAUUCAUCAAAAUGAUGGAACGAAUUAAAAUAGAUAGAGAGAAACACCUGAUGUCGUAGAAGAGGGACCGACAAAAGACCAUCAGGUAGAGUAGCUUCAACUUUUGGUUGAUUGAGAUCCUGCAAGAACCAAACUUCCUUACCACUUCAAAGAGGAUUCAUUGUGUCAAACUCGGAUAAGAAUAUCUAGAACCAAUCUUAUUCCACGUAUUAUAUUUAAGAUAUCACGAAAACACACAAGUAACUAUUGUGAACACUGCUAUGUUCAGCCAUUUCACAAAAGCUUGUUUGUCAUAAGUUUACUAUUUGCUUAACAAGUUCAUUCUUCAGAGUCACAAUUUAGUAGUAGCAGAAGGAUUUCACCAAAUUCUAAGGAGGUGGCAUAGCAGUAAAAAGAAAUGGGUAAAACGGGAUUAGGAAUAGACUGAGAAGUAACCAGAUCUUCAAAACUCACUCUAUGUAGGUUCACUUCAAACUGGCUUAGAAAAUAAAAGGAGAAAGAAGGAAAGAUGGAACAUGAGAAAGGACCAAAUUUAGGUUCCCUUCCAAACUGGUUUUGACCCCAAAAUUCGUACAAUGAAAAUGAAUUUUUAAUUACCAUAAGAUUACCAAACAACAUUCAUUUUUUAAAACAUGCGAUACCACACAUGCUGGCCCCGUUCUUGGGUUUCCAUACAUACAAGGCUCUUCUAUACCUAACCAUUUUUAUUUUAAUAAAUCUCACAAAAGAAUCAAGAACAAAACAUAUAUCAUACCAAAAAUUACAAAAAUAAGCCAAGUACACAAUGGACUCAUAUAAAACACGAAAAGAUCCAGAUCCUAUUUACACUGUGCAGGUAUUUGAAACAAUGUUAUGCCCGUAGAAAUACCUCUAGUGCUGCUUGAUAUAUCAGUCUCUCAUCACUAUCAGUGACCCUUUCUUCACCUAUGCCAGGAUGGUAUGGGGGGUCACUUGAACUAGCAAACUGUGAAGUAGAAAAUGACUUUCCAUGCAUGAAAGUGGGGGGCAGGACCCUACUCCCACUGCUCUCAGGCCUAACAAAUUCAUUGGCAUUGCCCCUGGUAGAAUGGUCUCUCAUAAAUCCCUUGCCAUUGGUUCCAUAAGUAUCACCAAACUGACUGUGGGCCAUGUUAUCUCUUGCAUUCUGCAGAGAUGGGGGAAGGGUCCUCUUCAAAUCCCGUUGGGAUGAGAUUUUCUCAUAGUCCUUAACAGAAAUAUUAGCGAUUCGUGAAUCCUGAGGCUGUUCCAAAUUUCCAAAAUGUGCUCGAGCAGCCUGUCGACUUGAGGUUCUUAUGUCAUCGCUUGAACUGGGAUGAAACUUCUGUUUCACCUGUGCAUGGUGAUUAAAAUUAGGAGAGCUUCCAUUAGAAGCAUAUGCUCUUCUAGGAGAAGGCACCUUUCUAGACUGCCCAGCAUAAUCUGAAAAUUUCAUUAAUUCUCAUGUAAUUAAUAAUACAUAAACUUAACUUUAAACAUGGGCAGGGCAGGCUCUUAAAAUACAAAACCCAGUCUAACCUUUACUCGGAUUUGAGCCAGUUCCAGAUGCCCAAGGUGGAAGAAUUCUACUGUUGACAGAUUCCCUUUCUUCCCUCUCUGUUUCACUAUCAGAUGAACUAAUAUCUAUAAACUCCCUUUGAUCCAUGAAGGUUGAAAGUUGAGUUUCCCUUUCUUCAACCAAUUUAGAAAGAGAGUUCCUUGAAGGUAAGCCAAUCUAAAAUCACAAAGUAUUGCUGAAAUCUCAUGGUGCAGCAACAUAACCAGAGGAGCAACAUAUUUAUUAAAAUGACUCACCACAUCCGCGCAAUUCUUUGAGAUUAAACUGCCAACCAAUCCACUUAAAAAGGAGCAAUAUCUCCAAGUUGAAUAAAAAAAAUCAUGAAGAUAAUCCGCAUGACCAAACAUCUAAGCAGCUGCAUCCCCUCUUCCUUCAAAAUCAGAAGAUUAAUAAGUUGAGCAGAUUAAGCCGCAGUAAAAAACUUGAUUUUGGAAACCUCUUGCAUGGGAAUGAAAUAUUUUGAAGUUCAUAGAAACAGAUGCAAAAAGGAAGGUGGAUUAGUUUAUCUGGAAUCUUAAAAAUACACACACAGAGAUUAUAUAUAUACAGUGAGCUUCUAUUAAGGGAUUCCUCAAAUAAGCUUAUUUGAGGGACACCCUUGUAGGGCUCACUCCGCAUUGCAUUUCGCUAAUCCAAACCCUCUAUUUUUUAGAUAAUCAUUCAAAGAUCAUCUCUACAAAAAAUCAAUUGAAUCCGAUAUCAUUUGACCACUGAAUUGAGUUAUUGAAAUUUUAGUACUUUCUAGAAGCACCGUGUUCAUUGAUUUUGUAGGACACAAUUGGAUGUCUAAACGGUUUCCGAUUUGUCUAAUUUUUUGCAAGGAUGAUCUGUGAAUGAAGACCUAAAAAAUAGAUGGUUUAGAUCGUUGAAAAAAAAUUCGUAGGAUACCCUAAACGGUGUCCCUCAAAUAUUAUUUGAGGGAUCCCUCAAUAGGAUACCCUAAAGGGUGUCCCCCAAAUAUAUGUAUGUAUGUAUGUAUGUAUAACCACUACAUAUCAACAAUGUAUUUUACAAAGAUAAGAACUAGAAUACAACAUUACAUGGCUGUGCAUGAAAUUCAGGCAAUCAUUUGGACUACAAGUCAGUAGGAUAAGGUCAUAAAUGUUAUUGGCUGAACUGAUAAGACUACAGCAUAGGUCAGCACUAAUUUAAGUUUACAUAUAACAUCAUAUAACAUUUAAAAAACAAAAAGGAAAUAAGUGCCAUUUAACAUGAAUUUCAAAAGAAAUGAAAUCGAGGUCUGGAUAGACUAUAAUAUAAGCAGGUUGAUUCUAAUUAUAAAUGAAACUAGGUUGAUUCUGAUUAAAUAAAUAAAAAAGAAGAAGAUUUUGCCAAAGAGAAUGCAAGCUGAUGAACCCUCGGAUCCAGAGGUUAGUAGCAUUACAUAGGACCACACUCUUUUGCUGUUAACAGGAUAAGAGUGAUACAGAAGCAGACACAAGUAUACCAAAAAUCAUGUGCUAAUAGAAAAAGCGAGAUCCUUGAGGAAGUUGCAUUAUCAGUUGCUCAUUAGUCACUACUUGACUUUAUAUCUAGAUAUCUAUAUGUGGUAAGAACUAAGCAUAUAUCCACUAGAGUAAUUCAAUUGAUUGACUAAGAUAAUAUAGACAAACUUAAUGUUUUUGCAUUAUCUCUGUAGUUUCCUAGCAGGAACUCAAAAAGUGUUGUAGAGUGCUAACUAGUGAACUCUGAUUUUAGUAAAACCAAAAGGCUAAAACUUUGAAUAGGGAGAGAGACCCUAAUUAAAAACCCUACAAACCUUUCAAGAAUUCAACGAUUUCCAUAGGGAUAACAAGUGCCCAACAAUAUUUAUGUUAAACCCACUAAGAAAAAAGAUAAAUUGAAAAAACAAAGCAUGCAGUGGGUAAAAAAACAAGAUGAUAAGCGAAGCCAUCUUGGUUCUUGGUUCAUGAAACUGAACCCAAAGUUCAAAACUUUACCCGGUCAAAUAUAGAGGAAAUAGGAAUGAGGAAGGGAAACCAUACCUGUAAAGUUGUAAUGGCUGAUUCUCAUUGCAGUGCUCCCCACUGUUUAUAGGGUUUACAGUGGAGAAGAUGGACGGAGACACAGCCAACGGUAGCGUUUAGAACAAUGAAAGGCUGUUUUUUUUUUUUUUUUUUUGGGGUGAACUGGGAUGGAAAGAGAUCUUGUAUUACGAACGAGAGUAUCACCCCAAAAAAAAAAUAUUUAAAAUUUAAAAUAGUGCCUGAGUUAAUAAAUACGGAAGAAAAAAAAAAAGUCUUCAACGUGCUUCUUUGGUUCUGGUGUUGAAAAACUUUGAUCAGGACGACCUUCAACAUAUUUAACUAAUGACUUUACUGCAAAAAAAGUUAAUAAAUAAUUUGUUUUGUAUUCGCAUAAUCAUUUUGUUUCACGCCUUAUUCAAUUCAAUUUUUUUUAUAUAAAAAAAAACAUCAUAAAUCCAGAUCCGAACCAUUGUUCGUUUGUUACAGUAGGAAAAGUAGAUGGGCUGAGUCUAGAAGAAGCCCACUAUCUGAGAGAUGGUGGGCUGAGUUGUGAGUUUGUGUCGUGUGUGAGUUCAGUUCAGUUCAGUUCAGUUCAGUUCCAACGACAUUGGAUUGUUACUUUACUUUUGCCCUUUCUUUCUUUCCGUUGUCUACUUUCGAAGAAGAAAAACCGACCUGUUCCUAUCCAUGAUGCCAUGCCAUGCAAGCGUGGGUUGAUGGGGCCGGGUAUGAAAUGAAAGAAUGAUGAACAUCCUAAAGCCCAGCCCAACCCAACCCAAUGCAUGAAUGUCAGCAUCAAGCAGCAUAUAAUAUGUGCGAGAAAAGAACUCUAAGAAUAGGCCCAACCCAACUAUCUCAUCAAAACCAGGGAGAGACAAAUCGUUAAAUCUACACCGUCAGUCAAUACACACUAAUAGCAAUUGGGGAAACGGACGGUAGAGACAUACACAAGUCAUCGAUCCGCGCCAACUGAAGAUGGCGGGGUUCUAAUAAUUGUUUUGGCGGCAACCAAUUUUCCCUCUUCGGUUUUCGUCGAAUUUCAAACUGAAACAAAUCAAAAUAUAUAUUUGCUUUGGGUUCACUUCACCCUUUGAUAUUCAGACAGCGUUCAUACUUUCGUAGAAGAAGAAGAAGAAGAAGAAGAAAUGGGAGGUGGGUCAAUGAAAUCGAACCCAACCAAGGCGAGGAAGAGGGUGGAGGCCACUGAGGAGUCAAGUGUACCUUCUCUUGUUCGUGGCAAGGACGGCAGUGCCUUUGCCCGAUGGUACCCAUUCCCAUCUCUCCUCACCGCUUAUCUUUCUUUUCCUUUCAAAUUUCCCAUUUCUAUUUUUCUUCUUUAUUUUCCAUGUGUGAUUACUUCUAUUGCAUUUAUGACUGCCCUGGUUUUGUUUUCUUGGCUGUGAAGGAAUUUAUACUUUUUAGGGCAGAUUGAUUAGUCAACAUAUUGACUAGAUUGUGGGUUAUUUUGCAGCGAGGAGUGCAACAAGAAUGUCCCAGUGGCACUCAUCAGCAUGCACAGCUGUAGCCUUGAUGCUAAAAUCAAGUUGCAUCUGAGUGGGUUUUGCUUUUUAUCUUGUUUAUUUAUUUAUUUAUGGGGGAGAAUAUUAUAUCAUUUGGUUGAUUUGGUUUGCUUUACUUGUGUAUGUUCGUUCAGGCUCUCAAGUUGUGGAAAGGCAGCCUGAAGCGAAUAAGAAGUCUCCCACAGAGAGGUAUGCCCAAAUUGCUCUGGCUCUUUCUCUUCCUUUGAGUUGCUCUUGCUCUUGCACUUGUGUGAUUUACUUAUCUCUUGAUUUGGUUAAAUUGUAAUUUUUUGUAGGAAGAGGUCCACUACAUCAGAACCCAAGUCAAAGAGAGCUAAGAAGGACAAAGAUCCAAAUGCACCCAAGCGCCCUCUCACUGCCUUCUUCCUCUUCAUGUAAAUCUCAUCUCACCCUCUGUUUCUGUGUGUGUGUGUGUGUGUGUGUGUGUGUGUGUGUGUGUGUGUGUGUGUGUGUGUGUGUGUGUGUGUGUGUGUGCAAUAAUGCAAUUACCAAUAUAAUACAAUGUGCAGCACUGUCAGUUUGUAUGAUGGUUGCAUGUGUGACGUUGCUUGGUGUUAAUUGGGGAAGGAUUUUGUAUACUGCAGGGACGAUUUCAGGAAAUCCUUUAAGGAAGCUAAUCCUGAUUCGAAGCUUGUUAAGACGGUAUGUUGUUUUCAAUCUUAUGUAACUCCAUUCAUGUAUGGUAUGCUAUGUUUUGAUGAUUUUGGGCAUUAGCGCUUUAACUUAAAAAACGGAUUUCAGGUUGCAAAGGAGGGUGGCGAGAAGUGGAAGUCUAUGACUGACGAGGUUUUGUUUUGAAUUCGUUUUGUCUUUUUAAGGUUUUGUUUCGUUGCUUGUCGACAGCAAAUGGUGAAUUGACUAUAAUUUCUUGUGUCGGAUGUCAAAUGUGUUUAGGAGAAGAAGCCAUAUGUGGAUAAGGCAGCUGAGCUUAAAGCAGAGUAUAAAAAAGCAUUGGAGAUGGAGACUGAUGAUGCUGAUGUUGAUGCCGAUGCCGAUGCAGAAGUUGGGGAUGUAAAGACUCACUUUUGCUCAUUCUUCAAUUUUGAGUGUUAUGAUAAUUGUAGCUCAGCUCUUGGGUUAAAUUUUGAUAUAUUUUCUUUUUGUUUCGUUGGUUAUUCAGGAUGAAAUUGAAGGAGGUUCAGAGAAAGAAGCUUCAGAGAAGGAAGUUUAAUGAAUGUGUCCUCCAUUUAGGGAAAUGGUGUCUAAUACAUGUUUCUGGAUUCUUGUAAAUUCUCAGUCUGGUUUUGUUCGAAUAGAUAUAAUGGCAGUUUUGGUAGUUCUGUGUUGAAAUAGGAAAUGUUUAGUGCCUUGCUUACUCACUGUCUUGUGGGAUUGGAACUUGGAAUGAUGAUGAACAGUUGCAUUUCGUAGCAUUUUAAGUUACAAAGUGCAUUUUUGUAGCAUUUGAAGCAAAUGAUUUCUUCUAUAUGCUGUGUCUGGAUGUUAAGCUUAAGUAAAACACCUUACGGAUAUGGAAACAAGGUUUCUUAAAUUAAAAAUGAAUAGGAUAAUCAUGUAAAAAGAAACAGAUAAUAAGUGACUAUCUCUUGGCUUGGCUUGGCUCUUGCAAGUUGCAAGUUACAAUUGCAGUAGACAUCCUAUGUCCUAUAUUAAUUUAUGAUCAUGUCUCAAUGAAACUGGUGAUAUGGUAUGGGCUGCUCCUGCUCCUGCUCCUGCACCCGAGUCAGCUUCUUACUGGCUCUGCCUGCAAGGUGGCAUAGGCUUGCCACAAAGGCACAAAUUGUGCAGAUAUGCAGCUGCAGGAAAAAUGUUAAAUGGUCUCCCUUGUGGGAUCUCCCCACACAACCUGUUUGCCCUGAAGCUUGCGUGCUUGAGACGUUCAAUCCCCAGUAGGCUGUUUGGAAUCUUUCCAGUGAGCCCAUUGAUGGACACGUCAAGCCAUUGAAGCUUCAACAGCAACCCCAAACUUGUGGGGAUGGUGCCUGUUAUCUGGUUUCUUGAUAUAUCAAACCUCUCCAGUUGAGCCAGGUUUGAAACUGAGUUGGGGAUGGGACCAGCGAUCUUGUUGCUUCCUACGUCGAGCAUUUUCAGCCUCAAGCCUUCCCUAAACUCUGGGAUGCCACCAGAAAUUUGGUUGUUGGAUACAUCUACAACCUCCAAAAAUCUGCUUACCCUGUCAUUUAAGAUUCCUGUCGACCCUGAGAGAGAUCCGGUGAGCUGAUUUGCGUGUACAUCCAGGGAAGAGAGGGUGUCGGGCAACUUGAUUUCGGAAAGAUCAGCCUUGAGUUGGUUGUUGGAGAGGUUGAGGUUCUGCAGGCUUGACAUGUUGGCCAACAAGUUUGAAAUUCCACCAGUAAAAUGAUUAUGAGAGAGGUCAAUGGAGUUGAAAGAAUCAGGCUUUGCAAAGCUUGGGAGGGUUCCGCUUAACUGGCAGCCGGCAAGAUGAACAUCUCGAAGCUGUCUGCUCCUGAUCCAAUCUGGAACUUUCCCCAAACUGAGCUUGUUGUAAGACAAGUCUAUUGACAAGAGAGAAGGAAUGCCCGUGGCAAGGGUAGAGGGAAGAGGGUCUGAAAGCCCAUUGGCAGAUAAAUUUAGGUACCAGAGGUUGUGCAACCUUGAAAUGGAAAUGGGAAUGUGGCCGGUAAGGCGAUUGGAGCUCAAUGAAAGACUGGUAAGGGAUUUGAGGCCCUCCACCUGGACUGGGAUUAUGCCGGUCAGCUGGUUUUGGUUCAGGGAGAGGUCCAAAAGCUUGGGCAAGCUGAAGAGGGAAAUGGGCAUCUGACCAGAAAACUGGUUAUUGGAGAGGUCAAUCAAAGUGAGGUUUGGUAAGUAGCGGCCACCAAUGAAAUCUGGAAUGAGGCCGGACAACAUAUUGAAGCUGAGAUCAAGAUACUGCAAAGCAUGAAAAUUUUGAAAAGUGGGAGGGAUUGAACCGGUGAGGAAAUUUCUUUUUAAAUUGAUUUGGACGAGAUUGGUGAGAUGGCCUAGGGUUGGGGGAAUCUGACCCCUGAAACGGUUGCCGCUGAGGGAGAGGCUUUGGAGGGAGGACAACUGACCUAAACCUGGAGGAAUGUUCCCUACGAGGGAAUUGUCUUCAAGGGCCAAUUGGGUGAGGUGGGCGAGAUUAGAGAAGCUCUCUGGAAUUGGACCCGUGAUUUGCUUGAACCCACUGAUUACCAUUACCUCCAAGAAAUUCAAAUUGCCCAGAGAAGGGGAGAGAGUGCCCUUCAUGUAAAGGCCAGAGUCUCUAUCUGCAGCAGCAUCACCAGCAGCUGUAGCUGGUCUCUGCAACUGCAACACAGUAACCCUCCCAGCUGGAUUGCACUCAACACCUUCCCAACCUCCUCCACAGCAGUCUCUGCCUAUCCAUGAAGAAAGAAUUCCUGUUGUGUCCUUGAUGAUUCUGCCUUUGAAGCUCACAAGGGAAGCUCUAUCUGCUUCUGCGCAAACAGGGGAUCCUCCUCCUUCUCCUCCUCCUCCUCCUCCUGUUUCUGUUUGAGCUUCAGAGGAGGACACUAGCACUAUUGACAACAUACAAUACAAUAUUAGUGAUAAUACUAGCAUAAUUUGGUUGGAGUUGGAAACCCUUCUCAGGACCACGACUGGCAUUUUCAUUUUCAUCACUAUGAUGAACGAUCUGAUUAUUUAGAAGAAAAAUAAAAAUAAAAAUAAAAUGGAAAUUUCUAGUGUAUUGGGGAUCUGAUUGACAGGGGGGGGUUGAAAUCUAGCUUGCUAGAUGGUCCCCAAAUUAUAAUUUAGAAUGGAAAAGGUGGGAAAAGCUUGAAAGCAGCAGACACGGGCUUAUUCUAUUUCUCGAGGCCGUCCCGUAGACAGGAAGAUUUAAUGAUGAAAAAGAUGGUGGAAAUGGAAACAAUAUGAAUAUGGAAGUGUGUUUCAGAAUACAUAAUAAUGGUAAUAAUAAAAAUGGAUGGAUUGGAAUUUGGAUAUGUCUCAAGGGAACUAUGUCCGUCUUUAUUUAUACUAGUAAGUAACAACCAAAAGAGCAUAAUAGUUGUAUGAGGGAGGGAAGGAAAUAGAAUGUUUGAUGAAAGAUGAGGGGGAAAAUCAAUUUAAAGACUUUCACAUGUAAAAUAAAAUUGUGACCGUUUGAUGAUCACGAGGAUCCUAGUUGCACUUUGAACGUUGGAGCGCACUAGAUUCAAAAUCUGCUGCUUAGGUUUUUUUGUUUUUUGAACUUUAAGAAAUGAAAUCAAUCAACCCUUUAUUUUGUAGCGCUCGUCGCCCUCCACAAGUUUCAUGCUGCUGGUGCGUGCCAAGAAUCAUUUCUUGCGCCAAAGAAGAAGGCUAUAAUUUCUGCUGGUUUGGCUUGGAGUUAAAGAGCGCCUGACUUCUGAGUUGUGAGGGAAAUACUUUCAUGUGACUGGGUUGGUUGGUUGCUUCCUUCAAAUUUACUUCAUAUUGUAUUGAGGGCCAAAAACAAUAAGUUAAUUUUAAUUUAGUAUCUAAACUCUUACUUUUAAGACACGUUCUGUCCUUGCACUCUCAAUUUUAACGAUUACAUACAAUAAGCUUUUUAAUUUUGUGCAAUCUGGUUCUGACGUUAAUUUCAUUGUCAAAAUUUCCGUAAUUGCUUGUGUGACAAACUUGGAUCCCAUCUAUUUACUUAUUUCAAUUCAGUUGAAGGGUAUUUUGCUACAAAAAAAAAAGGGUUUGGUAUUAAUGUAUGCAAUGUGUUCUUCAUGGACGAGAAGACACCAAUUAUUCGAAAAAUACUCUUCAACUGACAUCGAAAUAAACGGAUAGAUGAGAUCCAUGCCUGCCACGCAAUCAAUUAACGGGAAUUUUGAUGUCCAAGUUAAUGCCGGAACCAGAUGGCAAAAAAUUGAAAAGUUUUGGGUAUGUAAUUGUUAACAUUGAGAGUGCAUGGACAAACGUACCUUAAAGGUAAGAGUUCAGGGUACUAAAUUGAAAUUAACUCUAAAAAACGCCCCUUUUAAAAAAGGUAUACAUGAAAGUAAUUUUCACCGUUUGUCAACUAGCUGGACAAUUUUCUCCCGAGCAAAUCAAUUGCAACAUUUAUAACGGUACAAUCUGAGUUUUAAUAGUUUGACAAAGACAAGUGAUGAUAAAAGAAUGGUUAGAUGGAGAGAAAAGGGAAGUGUGAAAAUCACUUCCCUUGAUCUACCGAAGAUAUGUUGCAACCACCUCCUCCUGGUCGGUACCACCAUAUCUAUUUGCUCCCAAGAAGUUCCAUUGAUUGCUCAUGAUUAUUGACUUUUCCUAAUUUGGAAGAUAGCUUUAGUGAUUAUAACCAGUAAAAGUGCUUUAAUCUGUCUUAAAUAGAUUCUAACUAGCAAAAGUGAUUUAAUCUGUCUUAAAUUGAAUGCUAAUGUUAUCCCCACUAUACAUCUCUAAUUUUAAUUAAUUAAGUUUGUUAUGUUUUUAUUUUUAUUUUUAUUUUUUUACUGUGUCAUGUUCUAAACUACUUUAAUUAAUCAGGAAUAAGAGAUUCAAAUUCCGACACAAGAAAAUGAACACACUACUCUAAUCAACUAUCCUAAUCUUCGCUCUAGUGAUCAUUUGCAUUUUGCAUACGGUAAGUGAUUGAGUAAAAGAAGGAUCUAGGGUUUUCUAGUACCGCUUGUCCGCUAUUCCAAAUUUCCAAAUGACAUGCACAUGCCUGCAGUGGAGAAGCUUUGACUUAUUAAGGGGAUGUUUGUCAAACUAUCGUCCUUCAGUUUUGACUUAUUUGGCCUUUUAACUUGUGUUUCUCUCCUAACUUUUCCCAAAUAGAAAUCAAAUUUUAUGUCUUCUCUACUGGAGGGCAUGGCCGGAACGGGCAGGUGCAGUGAUAGCUCUUCCAUUGUCCUGUCCUACAAGGAAGAAAAUAAAAUAAAAAAAGCAAUAAGGCUACCAAACAUUUAUAGUUUGAUGGUGAUUGAAAAUGAGGAAUUCUAAAAUAAAAGUUUCAUAUUUAUUUCCAAUCAAUAAAGACGUGUUUCGGAGAUUUUUUUUUGUUUUUUGUUUUUUUUGGAGAGAAAACGAAAUUUGAUUGAAGCAUUAUUACAAAUCAAAUUAUAUGUUUAAGUAAUAUCAUGGACACCAAAUUCAUCCAUGGACCAAAUCUGUGUCUCAAAUCAAAUGAUAUGUUCUAUUUGUCAAAGAACAUAAAUUCAAUGAUUUGGGUUUCCUCGUAAAUGAGUGAUCAAACCUGAAUCAGAUUAGGUUGCGUUGAUUGCGCUUAAAGGGGAAUUGGCCCCCAAUGCAUGUAUACGGAUCGACAAUGUUGACUAGGAUGUUGAAUCUAUGCGGAACUGGAAAACUAGAUUUCGGAGUCUUUUUAAGUUGAAGAAGAUAUUUUAGGCAGACAUAGUACCUAAUCUUGUAAACCUAAAAAACCUAGAGGGUCCUACCACAUGAUUCUUGUUUCAUGUUCAAAGUUUAUAUGGUUCAACAUCACAUGUUAAAAAAGGAAACUUUAUUAGCGGGGCCUUAUAGCUGAAAUGAUUAAGAGUAAUUAUCCUUAUACUUGAGGUAUUGUGUUCGAAUUCCCCCUCCUCCAAUUACCGCUUGGCUGGCCAUAUAUGUAAAUGGUAAUUUUCUCUUGCGAGGUUAAAUUAUGUUGCAAACACUGAUGCUUAUGUAUGGGCAAGAGAGAAGAAAAACAUCGCUCUUUUGUUGCUUGAUGAACAACACAAAAACAUCACUCUUUCCUUCAUAUAUAUGACACUAAACAUUAUUUGUAAACAUCCGCAUAUGUCCAGAAAACAUCCACAUAUGUCCUGUCCUGGAAAACAUUCAUUCCUACACACACACACACAUACACAACUGAUACACAGCAUACCUGGAGCUGGAGCUGGAUUAGGUGCAUGCCCUGUGUUGAUUCAAGGUACCGUACAAGGACUGAUUCAUGACUCAUGAGAGCUUUUAUUUAUUUGUUUAUUUAUAUAUGAAGAUGACGGACGGACGGACGGAUGGGUGGAUGUGUGUAAAGAGUGAGUGAGUGUCUACUUGACAAGGCCCAAGUUGAGGAUGCCCCAGGAAGUUUGUGGCCAUGAUCUGUCUCUUGCCUUCAUGAGCAGCACUCUUGCCCAAGCAAUCCAUCCUUCCCAAGACAUCCUCUUGUCCCAAGCACUCCCCCAUUCCAACAUCAGAGUCAGCCCUCUCUCUGCCUCUCUCUCUGCCUCCUCAAACUUUGCUUUUCUCAAAUAAACCUGAGCCAACACCACAUGUGGCUCCCCAAUAAAAGGGUUUCUCUCAACACACGACCUCAACAGAACCACCGUCGCUUCCUCAUCAUCAGCUCCUUUACCAUCAUCAACAAUCUCUCUCUUAGAAGACGACGACGACAUACCACAAACAGCUUCCCAGUACAAGUCCCUUGCAGCUAAUUGCUCCUUGGCAUCCAGAACCCUUGUGCACUUGUCGAAAACUGGUGGCACCACCAGCUCAAUAUCUUCAUCUCUAGAUUUGUCCAACUUGUCUCCAGUUGCAGUAGCACUAGUAAUUUUCCUCUCUUCAACAAAAAUCGCUUCCUCUCUCACCAUCAGAGUGUAUAUUGCAGCCAUUCUUGAUAUGGAAUUCAUCCAAAGCCCCGGCUUGCCAUCGCCAGGCCACAGAGCUGCAAAGUUGUUGCCCUUAAACUCAAGGCGGCCAUCUAUGUUAUCAAACAGCUCGUCCUGGAAACCAAAAAGUUGGUCACUGAAAUCUGCUAUUGUCAUCAUAAGAAACACUGCAACUACCCUCCUUGAGACCAAGACAUCUUCCCCGGUCUUUAUGUGCUUCACUGUAAUCCCAUUAGCAGGAACAAGAGUUUGCAGUUUCUUCCUCCAACUCCAAGGCGCUGCUGAGUGAUCCUCCUGAAUCUGAUCCUGAUUAUUAGAAUUAGAAUUAGUGGCAGGGGCAGCAAGCGAUACCUCAGAUUGUUUGAGAUGUUCAACGAGCUCCGAGUCUGUGUAGUGGAACAAAAGGUCAUCGUGAAUUAGAGACUGUCUUGGGACGAUACAGAAGAAGUGAAUCAAGCGUUCUGCAGCAUCCCCAACAUGGCCGCGGACCACUUCACGGCCUGUUGAGGGAUCAAAAAUGGCGAGGUUGACAUAGGAAUUGGAAUAAGCAGAGUGAAAGAGGCCGCAAAGGCAGACAGAAUCUUGGGCUUUCCAUAUCUUGAGAAUGCGGUAUAUGUCAACCAGGUGUUCAAGAAAGGUGCCAUGCUUGUGCCAGCACUCACCUGCUCCAACUGAGCGCAGCACACCCACAAGUGAAGGCAAAUUCUCGUCGAUCGCCUCCAGCUCGCCACGGAGGAAGGGGCGGGCCGAGUCUAAGAGCCUUUGCAAGUACUCCUGGCUGCUGCUCUCCGACUCCGAAGAAGAUCGAAGCGAUGAAGAUGGCAUUAUUGCUGCUGCUCCUCAAUUCUAUAAAUUUGAUAGGAUAAUCUAAAUUCUUUCUAAUCAGCAAUCAAAGCCAAGGGAAAAGCUACAAUACAGCAAGAGAGAGAGACGUAAAAAGAUUCGGUUCUUGUGAAAGCUCAGUUGUUGGGAAGAGAUAAGAUAAGGUUUUGUUUUGUUUUAUGGUUGUUCUGUUCUGUUUUGUUUGUUACUUUGCUUGUCGGGAUUUACGCCUUAGCUUUUGUAGAUGACUCUAUGCAGUUUGGAAAAGGAUUCCUACUUCAUAGAUGAUGACACAAACCAGAAAAACUUACUUGUAACAGGGUUCAUUGUUUUGCUAUUCCUGCUACUUCACAGACGGUGUUGGUGACUAAUAAUACAACGACACAUAAACUCAUUAUAAAUAAAUUUAAACUUCAGAGAGAUGCAAGGAUAACUCACCCCCACAACUAGGGAUUGUUCAGGAUUGAAAGGACUGGUCGGUAAGAGGAUUAUGUUUUUCAUUUUUUUUUGUCAAAAAGAAAGAUUAUUCAAUGCAACCUAGACAUAGGUUGAACUGGAAAUGAAAUGUUUGAACUUCGAACAUAAGGCCCAUUUCGCCUUCUUCUGUUCAGUUGAACGUUUAAUUUCUCAUGGCUUUCUCCUUCCAUAAGUAUAUAUGAUUAACUGAACUGAUCCAACCUCGCUAGUUUUUGAAAAUGAUUGUUUUGCUUGUGUAGUUGGAUUGGCACUCGCAGAAUCACUUCCCUAUGGUUAGUCGUUAUUUCUUCGUAAUAAUGUCACAUUCAAUUUUUACCCGUAAAACAAGUCACAUUCAAGAGAAAAAUGUAAAGAAGAGUCUCCAAUGUAGGCCUAUAAACGGGUCGGAGAUGAAGUGGAGCACUUGAAAUCCCACUCAAACCGAGUUCAAAUUUUUUUUGACCCGAUCCGAUUCGAAAUCCGAUUAGAUUCUAACAUCACCAUACCGGGCCAAAAAAAUAGAACAAAAAAGAAAAAAGAAAAGCGUUUUUUUAUGUAUUGUUUUGUGACGUGAAUCCUAUAUUAUUUGCAACACAUCCUCCUACCUGCAGCAGUCUAAUUAAUUCAGCCCAGAUCCUUGGGCAGGAACCAUUUCAAGAGCCUUCAUAAUGAAGGUAUAUAUGAAGGCAUCUUCUUGAAGCUUCUCAAAUCUGCACCAAACAAACAAGAAUAGGGAAGAAACACAAAUUAGUUCCUUACAGAGAAUGCAUGGAAAUACUUCAGACUUCAACGAUCUUGAAGGCCAUAGAGUUCUUGCUGUUUUUAAUUAUAAGCAAUUGUUCCUCUCACCUUUGUGAAAUUGUGACUUGCAUUUACAUCUAAAAUGAACGGAUAAUAAUAUUUUAUUUAAAAUGAAUAAUCCACUCUGUUUCAGAAAUACUAGCCAAAAGAAUUUUACCUCCCCGACUUUGAAGAAUGGCCAGCACCAAAUUCACAUUUAAACAUAACGAUGUUUUUAUCAGUCUUCAUAUCCCUUAGUUUUGCCACAAAUUUAGCAGGUUCUGAAUACAUCACACGUGGAUCUGUUGCAAUAAACCAGUGUCUCAAAUGGAAUGCCAGGAGAAAAAAAGCAUUAUCAGAUAUAAUUAUAACUUCCCUCUUUCCAUUACACAGCUGAGUCUCAUCCAUGGGAUCAGCCACCAACAUCCAAUAAGCCCUACCCACGAAGUCCUCUAAACAUAAUGAUUUGACUUAAACAUUAAAAUGUGUUUAACAGUGCUCAGUUGCUGUUGGAGAAUAAAAGUAUUUCUAACUAGGAUUCUACGUGAGUAUUUGUUUAGCAGUGUAAAGUAACUUCCUCCUGUAAGUGAUUUGAUUUGAUUUACUUUCUUUCUGUGAUUAGGCUUAGACUCUAUUUAAAACCUUCUAGGGUUAAAGUUAAGAUCAAAGUAUUACCCUACUUUUUCAACAAGGUACAACACGACUUAAUCUUUUUAAACAGGGUUCCUUUUUUCCAGACCGCAAGCCUUCCGAUAGAUUUUAAUUAUAUACAUAAAGCAAUUAUCUGACAAUUUCCUAUUUCAAGAUAAUAAUGAACUAUAUCGUGGGAGCACCCUGCAAUCUUUCAUGGCAAUGCCAACUAUUUCAAGAUAAUGAAGAAAUUGAAAUUGCAGAAGCAAAAGUGUUAUGAUCUUGUGCCUACCAUUUAGACCAGCAGUAACAAGAAUGUUUGGAUAAUUUUGCACCUUAACCUGCAUAAAAUAAUGCCAAACUUAGAUCAUUAAGGUAAAAAAUAUUUUAGGAAUGUAUUACAAUUCAUGACUUAGUGCUUGGCAAUUUUAUCUGGGACAGAAGAAUAGAGAAAGGUCUUUAAUUUUGCCUAUUUGUCUGUUGUCUGUAAAUGAUCACUUUGAUGAUACCAAAUUAUGGUUAUUCUAGCUUACUUGUUAUAACGAUACUGAUUAAAGCAGUACAGAACAGGUUAUUGUCCUCACAUUAUCAACAGGGGAAUACGACUUCAUGUAAAAGUAGAACUCCUCUUUACGUGGAUCACCCCAUUCCUGCAGAAACAAAAUUAUAUCAGUGAAUAGUAUCUAAACAUACAUUUUGAAAAAAAAUAGUAGCAAGCUGACUGCAGUCACCAAGAGUCACCUUAGAUCAUAAAGAUGGGGCAAAUGGAUAUAAUUAGGUAGAUCUGGAAAACCAAAGAAUAUUUAAACAAAGUUCAAGCGAAGAACUCCAAAAAUUUUGUAGCGCAAAAAUAAGAAAAGAACAAGGAAAAAUCGUGAUGUCAAGUUCGGGUUGACCCAUACAAGGAUACAAGUUGCAUUUGAUGACAGUAUCAAUUAACUAGUGUUGCAUUUAUGUGAUGUUUAAAAUGAUGUGAUCAUUAUAUUAUUAUCCACCCCAGUUAAUCAUUAAAUCCCUAAGGAGAUUAAGUUAACAAUGCCCAAGUGAUGAUCCAUAAAACUAGAUGUUCAUCACAUGCAAGCUACGGCAUCCAAGAAAAUUCACCAGUUAUAGACAUAGCAAGAGUAUUUCUGCAUUCAUAACAAACAAUUUUACUAGGGAAUUUCUUCUUCAUUUCUUUCAUCCUGUUAAUGCUUCAACGUAAGAAUCUCAUGAGGAAAAGUAAAAUACCUCCCACUCUGAAGUUGUGAGAGGGAUAGUUGGAUCAAGCAUUGUCGUCAGAACAUCAACAAAAGGCACUCCAGCAACAGCAGCCUUGAACAAAUCAGGCCUCAUAUUAAGAACAGCACCAAUAAGCAAUCCACCUGCACUCCUUCCAUCAAUGCAUAAUCUUGCUUUUGAACAGUACUUCUUUUCUAUCAAAUACUCAGCACAAGCAAUAAAAUCGGUAAAAGUAUUUUUCUUCUUUAGUAACUUUCCAUUCUCAUACCACUGCCUCCCCAUUUCACCACCCCCACGAAUGUGAGCUAUAGCAUAAAUAAAACCAUGAUCCAGCAAAGACAGCCUUGAAGCUUUAAAACUGGGAUCUAUGCAGACCUGUUGACAAGAUAAGGCUCCAAGUCAUUGAGAGAGAAAUGAAUACAAGUGGAGAAAAAAAUAUUCCCAAUGGCUUGAUAUUGCCUCCUGCAGCAUUUUACAUGAGCUAGACUAAAGUCUAUCUUGACAAAAGUCAGCAAGUUGUUACACCAGAGUGAUUAGAGCAAAGCCAGAAGAGUAACCCGACAUUAAGAAGUUCAAGGUUCUGAAAAGCUUAAUAUGUGGCUUUAUUUAGGAUCUUCAUUUCGUUUUUGUAGGAAACAAUAAUCUUACUGAAAAAAUAAGUUAUAAAACAGGGUAGACAAGAAAUCCAUCAGAAACACAGAAACAAAAACCUUAAAAAGCACCUUCUCCCAAGAUGUUGGCUUUAAGUAGGAUUUUAAUGCUUUUUCUCACCAAGAAAUUAGGAUUCUAAAGAUUUUCACAAACCUGUAGAAGAAAGACGCCAAGAGGACCACUGACAAACUUCAACGUAUAUGCGCAAGAAUUACUGAACUGUGAUCAGAAUUAGGCAUCAUAGGCCAGAGACCAAAUUUUACAUGCUAAUUACUAAUCCAAACGGAUGCUAUAAGGCUAUAACAAGAAAACUUGUAAGCUUCUUAAGAAGACAUCUGAUGUUCAUGCAUUAAAAAAGGCAGACAAAAAGAAAUGGGAAUCAGGACUCAUCUCUCGACUCCUGAUUCUCCCGAGGUGUAUGGCUUUAAUGUUGCUGAAAAGGAAGACUAGAGCAGUUACAUAUAAAAUUCAGAAACUUAUCUUUGUGCCAAUCUCUAGUACUAUAACGCAGGGAAUGACUGCAAUCACAAAGAUGGCUCUGGUUACAUAUCUUUAAGGGCUUCAGAUUUCAGGGCUGUACUUUGAUUAAUUGACCAAUUAGAAGUUCUCAAGGGGUAUUUUGAAACAUCUCGCAAAUUUUCUACAAGACAUGCUUCUCAAUGUAAUCACAUUUGGAAUAUAAUGAUUGCAGUAAAAACAAAAAAAUAUAAAUAUAUCACUCGUGCCUAGUUUAAUCUACGAAUUCUUUUGUUACCUCAUAGGAGCCAUAGCCAUAGAGUAGCAAUGGAUCCGAUCCAUCAAGUUUUAUGAGAUCCUUCCUGUAAACAAUUGAUAUUGGUAUCUGAGUACCAUCUGGAGCACUAGCCCAUUUCCUUUCAGUAACAUAAUUUGAUGCUUCAAAACCUCCCAAAACCUGAGAAACAAAAUUGACAACAAUACUUCUGAAUUACAAUAUUGAAAUUUGUGUCUAAUUUGAUAGUAAGAAAAAGGCAACACUUGACCAGGCAUCAAAUAACUCAGGAAGAUGCCAUACAACCCAACUUUUUUGCCAACUCUCUCAUGUACGAGGUUCUGUGAUAUCAUGGAUCUCAUUCCAUGCAAGACAAUUGGGGGGACAAAAAACAAAGCAGACAAAAUUGGGGACAAAGUGAAGUGUAAAGCAUUUUCCAAUAACAUAAUCAAUGUAGAAGUGACUACUGUAUAUGAAAUGGAAAUGUAUAAAAGUUCCACUUUAAAUAUUUAACUUUGAAAACCAAAAUAGUCCUUCUACACAGUAAAUAAACUUCCUGCGGUUGGAACUUCAUUGGUAUUUCCCCUGCAAAAUCUCACAUCAUCGUACUAAUAAGAAACCCAAUUGCAUACCCUUAUUUUUUAAGGAAAAAAACUAUGUUGUGUAAAGUUUAUACAAUUUUGAACAAUGACCGUACUGAACCAACUUAUGUUCUUUCUUUUAGCUUCCUUAUACAAACUACAAUUUCUUGGUUGGUAUAUAUUCAUAACAGUAUAUGGAGUAUUCGAAAAUGAAAGAGAGCAAAAAUAUAAGAACGAGAUAAUAUGAGUGAAUAUUAUGAUCAUGUCAUGCAAAACCAGCAUUCUCCCUAGACCUACAAUAAACUUCGCAUUAGUAAACAGAUAUGACCAUUAAAGAAGGUAACAUUUUCACACAACACACACACACAUACACUCAUGCACACGCAAAAACACAUUUACACACACAUACACACACAAAGGAACAAUAAGGCCAGGUAUAUAUAUUAAAGGUAAUAAACGAAAUCUUAAUUUCCAAAAUAAAAUAAAGUAUAAAUUCAUUACUGUUGCAAGUUGAACCAAUAACAUUCCUAUAAGGAGAGUUAAAUAAGACACAAUAGCAAGCUUUGAAAUGCCAAUAAAAACAACUUACUGUUUCGAUCUUCUUCAAAACAGAAAUGCCUGUCUUCAUAUCAUAAUCAUAUACAGACGGAGGCGUUUUCAUUGAGCUAUAAGAAAAUCUUAAAAUUCUGGAAGAAAAUUCUGAUUCUGAUCGAUCCACAGAGUAUGUGGGAUCCAAAAAAUUAACAGCUUGACCACUGUGAAGGCUUUUAAGCGGUUGUCCAACAUCUGGAAGGUGAUAGAUAGUGACUUUUGGUAGACCCUCUUCACGCUCAUAUACAACAAGGUGUUCACUAAAAAGUUGUAUAUCCUGAAUUUUUACACUGAAGAAAAUUCUAAUUAGUAUGCUUAAAAUAAGAAAGAAAAUUUGCCUGCUAAAAAUAGUGAAGGUCAAAAAAUUGCCACAGAUUUUUCACGCCCCGAGAAAAAUUCUAGAAUGAAUAUGCAAAUGCAUAAGCAGCAAUUGGACAAUAUGGCAUGGAGGACUGAACAACACAUCUAACUCCAUCCAUUGUUAUAUCUCUCUUAUUUACAGUUAAAAGAGCACAUCAAAGGAAAAUAGCUAGAGAAAGGCUCCAGAAAAAGGUUCAGUUUCAUUUCUAGAAAAUGUGCUGCAAAUCACAUUUAGAUAUAAAAUGUUUCCAAUCAUGCAUAUCACAUUCAAUUUACACUUAAGCUGAUAAUGCCACAACUAGGACAUAAGACAUAAUUUUCAUAGUUCUUAAAAUUUUUAAAAAUGACAAGUCAAUUCAUGAACAUUUUAAGGUCAUGAAUGAGGAUGCGACUACCAAAUUUGAUGAUUACCUUUCCCUGUGUGGAAGAAGAACAGUAGUUUCAGAUGUAUUUUCCAGUGGACAAGCAAUUACUUCAGAAUUAAAACAUUUGUCACUUCUCCUCCUUAUAAAAAAAUGAUUUCCUCGAUGACUAACAAAUGUAUCAAUGCCAUUUACACGAGGUGUCAGAACCACAAGCCCAUCUUCAAGCUUUGCAAUAUCAAGGUAAAAGUUGAAUCUUGUAAUUUUACUUUCAGAUCCAACAAAUAAGAAUUUUUUGCUCUCAGAAGUUUGAAGGUCAAGAGAAAACACAUCAUCCUUUUCAUGAUAGAGGCACGAGUCACUUGACUGUUCUGUUCCCAACUUAUGUAACCAUGCCUAUUAAAAAGAAAACACGUUAUAAGCUAAACAAAAAGGAUUAAGCAGCACUUCACUCAUAAAAGUAAACGAUCGAACAGAAUGCAUGUAAAAGUUCUCUUCUGUGUGAGUAAGCCAGACAGGGGUAAGGCAUGACCUCCUGGCUCACUGCAACAAGACAAACCAGCAAGAAAACAGAAUGGACUUAUACAGAAAUAUAGGAGGAUGCAUUCUAACGAGGCAUUGUCACCAGUUCUCAUGAAAAAUUAUGUAAUCAUUUGUAUUCUCACAUAAAAGCAUGGGGCUGUGGUCAUUGAGCACAAUAUCUAAUAGUCAACAAAAAUAAACACAGGAGAGCCUCAUACAUAGGAUGUAAACAAAUGGGGGGAAGCGCGGUAACAGAACCACUGGUAAGUUGCUGAAUUCUAAAAUUUACCUGAACAUGAAGAUCUUCAACACCAAUAAGAUAGCUAAAUAUCUUAUAAUGCUCUCUAGUCCUUGAAUAAUGACAACUCAAAAAUUAAUGGCACAAAGAAUUGAACAUGCAGGUGAAGUGGGUGUGUGAAACAUGCCGUGACAUGAGAAGCAGAGGGCUUGAAGCAGUAGAAUCAAACCUUGUCAGGCCGGAGAGUUUCAUCCAUUGUAAUAUAAACUAAAGCCUCAUCACCAGCCCAUUGAAGAUAGGAUGUUGCAUCAACUAGAGGCAGUCCCACAGGAGCACCUGUCUCAGCAUCAAUGACAUGAAUUGUAUAAAUUUCAUUUCCUUUGGUGUCUUCUGCAUAUGCCACCAAUUUAUUAUUUGGACUAACCUGAAGAAGCAAUUACAAAAAAGUGGAGAACUUUGUAUAAUCAAACAAGAAACCACUGCAAUAUCUGUUAUAAUCAUAUACACCAUUGUUGUGGUUACCUUAAAAGCAGCAAUGCUAUAAUAGUCAUGAUGUUGAGCCUUAAUAUUCUCAUCCAAGAUUACAUGCUCGGGAGGAGCAUCAGGUCCGGUGGGCAUUGUAUCAUAUACAGAGGGUGGGGCCUCAGCCUGGAAGUUGGGUAUUAAGCGGCGACAACGCUGAACAUAUUCCUUACCCUUCAAAGUCCUUCGAUAGUAAUAGUAGGGGCCUUUUCGUUCAGGUGCAGAUAUAUCAUCCUCCUUGAUCCUCCCCCUUAUCUCAGCGUACAGUUCAUCUUCAAAUUUCUUAGUUCCUAAUGUAAAUAAAUCAAUUAAAAAUAAAAUUACAUUGCUUUGCUACUAAAGUUAGAAACAAGCAAACAAUAAUAGAUUAAAGGGUGUUGAAUGAAGAUCAAAUCAAAGUCGAAAUACAGACAAUUAAUAGUUGAAUACAAGUAACAAAGACAAAUGAGACGGGAAACGAAGGGAUAAGAUGGAAAGAACAGAUAGGUGGAUACCUACCGGACAUGAGGAAUUGGGUGUAAGCGUUCUCUUGUUGAAGGUAAGAGAGGACGUCGGGGUUGGAGCGAGAGUCGUCUCGAAGCCAAUAGUAGUUGUCCACUCUCACGUCUCCGAACAUCUCCAUCUUAUGCUCCACCUUCUUCGCCAUGGGAGGGGGAGGGGGAGGCUCACUCUGGCUCAUCCUCACGGCUGCUGCUUCUGAUGAUGACGAUGACGCUCGGACGGUGAUGGAUGCAGAGGCACCAACUGACGACAAUACAACUGCUGGAAGGAACACAAGCUGCUGAACCAGGUUUACAAAGCUCACACCCUUGCUGGCCCUGUGGCCUUGCAUUCUCAUCUGUGCUAUAUAUAAUAAUCCGAAUUAAUAAUAGGCUAGUAAUUAAUUAAUUUUUUUAGUAAACAAAUUUAAUUGCUUAUUUUUAUAAUCCAUUUAAGAUUACACAAACUCUGAAAAUAAAUCCAUUUAAGAUUUCACAAACUCUGAAAUUCUCAAAAAUGGCAUCUGUAUGAAUGAUACAUUUGGAUUGGGUGGGUGCACCGUGCAAUACAUCUGUAUGAAUGAUUUGCCUUGUCUUGUGUUUACAUGAUAAGAUGAUGAGUUGAUAAUUUAUUUGUGGUGAAUUAGACUUCAACAUUUGGAUUUUGGUAUUGUCGUUUUGCCCCGUCCAUUUUAACAUGUAUUUAUCAAAUAGAUUCCAUUUCAACAUGUAAAAUCUAUUCGCACUGUUUCUGUAAAUGCAAAUCAAGCCGGGGUUUUUAUUGGAUUCGACAUUUAUUUUACAUUAUGCCGGGGUUUUCAUCGAACGCAUUUCUAGUAUAUUUAUGUAUAGUUAGAGGGUUUAGGAGCUGGAGCUGGAGCUGGAGCUGGUGCAUGCCCUUUGUUGAUUCAAGGUACCGUACAAGGACUGAUUCAUGACUCAUGAGAGCUUUUAUUUAUUUGUUUAUUUAUAUAUGAAGAUGACGGACGGACGGACGGAUGGGUGGAUGUGUGUAAAGAGUGAGUGAGUGUCUACUUGACAAGGCCCAAGUUGAGGAUGCCCCAGGAAGUUUGUGGCCAUGAUCUGUCUCUUGCCUUCAUGAGCAGCACUCUUGCCCAAGCAAUCCAUCCUUCCCAAGACAUCCUCUUGUCCCAAGCACUCCCCCAUUCCAACAUCAGAGUCAGCCCUCUCUCUGCCUCUCUCUCUGCCUCCUCAAACUUUGCUUUUCUCAAAUAAACCUGAGCCAACACCACAUGUGGCUCCCCAAUAAAAGGGUUUCUCUCAACACACGACCUCAACAGAACCACCGUCGCUUCCUCAUCAUCAGCUCCUUUACCAUCAUCAACAAUCUCUCUCUUAGAAGACGACGACGACAUACCACAAACAGCUUCCCAGUACAAGUCCCUUGCAGCUAAUUGCUCCUUGGCAUCCAGAACCCUUGUGCACUUGUCGAAAACUGGUGGCACCACCAGCUCAAUAUCUUCAUCUCUAGAUUUGUCCAACUUGUCUCCAGUUGCAGUAGCACUAGUAAUUUUCCUCUCUUCAACAAAAAUCGCUUCCUCUCUCACCAUCAGAGUGUAUAUUGCAGCCAUUCUUGAUAUGGAAUUCAUCCAAAGCCCCGGCUUGCCAUCGCCCGGCCACAGAGCUGCAAAGUUGUUGCCCUUAAACUCAAGGCGGCCAUCUAUGUUAUCAAACAGCUCGUCCUGGAAACCAAAAAGUUGGUCACUGAAAUCUGCUAUUGUCAUCAUAAGAAACACUGCAACUACCCUCCUUGAGACCAAGACAUCUUCCCCGGUCUUUAUGUGCUUCACUGUAAUCCCAUUAGCAGGAACAAGAGUUUGCAGUUUCUUCCUCCAACUCCAAGGCGCUGCUGAGUGAUCCUCCUGAAUCUGAUCCUGAUCAUUAGAAUUAGAAUUAGUGGCAGGGGCAGCAAGCGAUACCUCAGAUUAUUUGAGAUGUUCAACGAGCUCCGAGUCUGUGUAGUGGAACAAAAGGUCAUCGUGAAUUAGAGACUGUCUUGGGACGAUACAGAACUGCUAAAAUAUGAAAAUUAUGAGAGAAUAUUUAUUUGUGGGAAUUUUCUGUGUAUUCUUCUCCUUGUAGGAGGUCAUAUUUAUAAUACAACGAAACCUGA